RNAcentral lists this ribosomal RNA (387 nucleotides) under uncultured bacterium. Its description in RNAcentral is "bacterial SSU rRNA". It matches the Rfam family "Bacterial small subunit ribosomal RNA", at positions 30 to 417 of the family's 1533-position model. The record is from RNAcentral.
AUUGAACGCUGGCGGCAUGCCUUACACAUGCAAGUCGAACGGCAGCACGGGAGCAAUCCUGGUGGCGAGUGGCGAACGGGUGAGUAAUAUAUCGGAACGUGCCCAGUCGUGGGGAUAACGUAGCGAAAGCUACGCUAAUACCGCAUACGAUCUAUGGAUGAAAGCGGGGGAUCGCAAGACCUCGCGCGAUUGGAGCGGCCGAUAUCAGAUUAGGUAGUUGGUGAAGUAAAGGCUCACCAAGCCGACGAUCUGUAGCUGGUCUGAGAGGACGACCAGCCACACUGGGACUGAGACACGGCCCAGACUCCUACGGGAGGCAGCAGUGGGGAAUUUUUGGACAAUGGGCGCAAGCCUGAUCCAGCAAUGCCGCGUGCAGGAUGAAGGCCU